RNAcentral lists this ribosomal RNA (403 nucleotides) under uncultured bacterium. RNAcentral's name for it is "partial 16S ribosomal RNA". It matches the Rfam family "Bacterial small subunit ribosomal RNA", at positions 29 to 525 of the family's 1533-position model. The record is from RNAcentral.
AUUGAACGCUGGCGGCAGGCCUAACACAUGCAAGUCGAGCGAGCGGCGGACGGGUGAGUAAUGCCUGGGAAUUGCCCAGUCGAGGGGGAUAACAGUUGGAAACGACUGCUAAUACCGCAUACGAUUGGAUUGCCCAGGUGGGAUUAGCUAGUUGGUGAGGUAAUGGCUCACCAAGGCGACGAGCCCUAGCGGGUCUGAGGGGAUGAGCAGCCACACUGGAACUGAGACACGGUGCAGACUCCUACGGUGGGCAGCAGGGGGGAAUAAUGCAGUAUGGGGGGAACCCUGAUGCAGCCAUGCCGCGGUUGUGAAGAAGGCCUUCGGGUUGUAAAGCACGUGCAGCGAGGAGGCGUUACUCGCAGAAGAAGCACCGGCUAACUCCGUGCCAGCAGCAGCGGUAUUC